AUCUUAAGUUCAUUUUCAGGUAGAGUGGAGUGUGAGUAAAUGAAUGAGUAAAUAGGAAAUUAUAAGCAUUUGAGUAGUAGUGGAAAUUGAGGCAGUGAAUGAGAUCACCCAGGGAGAGUCAGCAAAACAGGAAGAGACAAGGGCCAAGGACAGAACCACUGGAAUAGCAAAUGUAUGUGAUUGGCUAAGGAAGGAUACACCGGAGAACGAGAACUAGCAAAAGAGAUCACUUGAAGAAAGAGGAGGUGGUCAGUGGUGUCUAAGAGUAGAAAGGGGUCCCAUAAGAUAAAAACUGAAAAAUGGUCAUUGGAUUUAGCAACAAGGCAGUCAGUGGGGACCUUUGCAAGAGUUUCAGCACAGGUGUGUAGAGAGGGGCUACAUGGCAUGGGUUGAGGGGGAAUGGGAAAUGAAGUAAUACAGAUAGCCCUCACAAAAGGUUGGCUAAGAAAAGAAUUAAGAAGGUGGCUAAACGGGGUAUAAGAUGGGAAGUUUAUCGUAGUUUUGAAAGAUAGGUAGAUACAGGGGCACCCCCACCCCCACUUGUGCACUCUCUUGCUCUCUCUCUCACAUAAAUAAAUAAAUCUUAAAAAAAAUAAAGAAUUUGCUUACGAUUCAUCUAGGUUUGGGCGCACCUGGGUGGCUCAGUCCAUUGAGUGUUUAUCUUCAGCUCGGGUCAUGAUCUCAGGGUCCUGGGAUGGAGCCCCACUUUGGGCUCCCUGUUCAGCGGGGAGUCUGCUUCUCCCUCUCCCUCUCCCUCUGCCUCUUGCUCCUGCUCAUGCUCUCUCUCUCUUUUUCUCUCUCUCUCAAAUACAUAUUUUUUUUAAAUCCAUCUAGUUUUUAAAGCUAUAAGCCUUUCAUCUGUGAUAGCAUUUAUCCCUCUCUUCUUUAGGUGAUCCUUGAUAUCUCCUAUGGCAUCUGUUGGCAGAAAUACACUUGCCGUGGGAAUGAUAUGGAGCCAGGAAGUAGCAGCAGUUUGUCCCUCAGCGGAGUUGGGAGCUUCACGGAUCCAUUUCCACCCCCCCUGCUCUUAUGGGAUCAGUAGUCAUCAGAGACCUCCGCCUCACAGGUGUCAUAGGUUGGGGCCACCAGGAAGCAGAUUCCAAGAUGGAGCAGUGGUUUGUGCAGUGGGACUCACUCACUUAACUGAAGAUCCCCCAGUAGAGAAAAAGGACUAGGAGAAAAAGGCCACGUCACCAAAAGACCACCUUGUUGGCGGACGGUGAACUUUUCCUUCAUGCCAGGCCUGCUGCACUGUCUAAUGUCACAAGUGUCUGCUCACAUUAGCUCCCGGAGACUGGAGAAGAUUCCGCAUGGGGCCUUUCCAGCAAGUUGAUUUGACAGAAUGAGUCCCCAUGCUAGCUCAUGGCACUUAUCAGUUAGUUGGCCUUCCUUGGGGAGGAGAAUUUAGAGUGCACCAUAUUCAGUUUCCAAAUCAACGGCUGUCCCCUCAGGAAGCUGUGUGUUGCAUUAUUAAAAGAGACGCCUUUGACCACAGCACCAUACUUAAACAUUCAUCCACAUUAAAAAAAACAAGGUAGAGUGGGGGGACAGCAAAACGAUGCCCCACCCCCUUCCCUGUGUUAACUCUUUCUCCCCAGUUUCCGGUCUCCCUCACUGAACAGUCCUGUAACCUUUAUUAGUGGACAUGAACGCUUAUUAUUUUUUUGUGAGCCUCGCCUUUAUUUUAAAAGGGGUGUUUUGACAUUUCUUGGAAUGGCUGUGGAACCUUCCCCUAAACUGUAAGACCUUGGGGCUGAGAUACCUCUAUUCCCAAUCUCUGCUCUUCACUGAGCUCCCAUGGCAAAGUCAAAAUCUAGCCACCGGAAACAGCAAUGACUUUGGUUUAUCUGUUACCUACCUCUCCCAGGAGUUCAAAUGAAAUGCAAGAAUUAGUUCUGAGUUGAAAAUGAACAGAUCUGAAGCUCACACUUUAAUUAUUGUAACUUCACAUAUUUCUAAUUUAAAAAAUAAAAAAUAAAGUUUAUAUCCA
This 1990-nucleotide long non-coding RNA is filed under the name Ursus maritimus (polar bear). RNAcentral describes it as "lncRNA (ENSUMAG00000012835.1)". The record is from RNAcentral. Lineage: Eukaryota; Metazoa; Chordata; Mammalia; Carnivora; Ursidae.